AGUCCAAAUUCAGCCUGUGAACCCAACCACAAAUCCCUAUACUUGACUGUUCUCUGAGAGCCUCAAACCCCAAUGUAGGCCUGGCUGUUAGAGAUCUAUCCCUCUGGUCAGGCCCCUCUCUGUGCUGUCAUGUCACCACCCUGCCCUUGCCAUGCCUUCAUCCCAAGGCAUCCCAAAGCCAGCCAUCCUCACACAUGAGCGGGUACUGCAGAUGAGCAAGAUGCUGUCCUUAUCUGGGGCCACAGCUGAUGAUGUGGUUUACACGGUCCUGCCUCUGUACCACGUGAUGGGACUUGUCGUUGGGAUCCUCGGCUGCUUAGAUCUCGGAGCCACCUGUGUUCUGGCCCCCAAGUUCUCUACUUCCUGCUUCUGGGAUGACUGUCGGCAGCAUGGCGUGACAGUGAUCCUGUAUGUGGGCGAGCUCCUGCGGUACUUGUGUAACAUUCCCCAGCAACCAGAGGACCGGACACAUACAGUCCGCCUGGCAAUGGGCAAUGGACUACGGGCUGAUGUGUGGGAGACCUUCCAGCAGCGCUUCGGUCCUAUUCGGAUCUGGGAAGUCUA
This 564-nucleotide small RNA is filed under the name Pan troglodytes (chimpanzee). RNAcentral's name for it is "retained intron". The record is from RNAcentral. Lineage: Eukaryota; Metazoa; Chordata; Mammalia; Primates; Hominidae.